CCUACGGGGGGCUGCAGUAGGGAAUAUUGCUCAAUGGGGGAAACCCUGAAGCAGCAACGCCGCGUGGAGGAUGAAGGUUUUCGGAUUGUAAACUCCUUUUGUUAGAGAAGAUAAUGACGGUAUCUAACGAAUAAGCACCGGCUAACUCCGUGCCAGCAGCCGCGGUAAUACGGGGGGUGCAAGCGUUACUCGGAAUCACUGGGCGGAAAGAGCGCGUAGGCGGGAUAGCAAGUCAGAUGUGAAAUCCUAUGGCUUAACCAUAGAGCUGCAUUUGAAACUGUUAUUCUAGAGUAUGGGAGAGGUAGGUGGAAUUCUUGGUGUAGGGGUAAAAUCCGUAGAGAUCAAGAGGAAUACUCAUUGCGAAGGCGACCUGCUAGAACAUAACUGACGCUGAUGCGCGAAAGCGUGGGGAGCAAACAGGAUUAGAUACCCCAGUAGUC
Molecule: ribosomal RNA, 440 nt
Filed under: uncultured bacterium
Lineage: Bacteria
Description: partial 16S ribosomal RNA
Rfam family: Bacterial small subunit ribosomal RNA
Source: RNAcentral